RNAcentral lists this ribosomal RNA (460 nucleotides) under uncultured Lachnospiraceae bacterium. RNAcentral describes it as "bacterial SSU rRNA". It matches the Rfam family "Bacterial small subunit ribosomal RNA", at positions 93 to 568 of the family's 1533-position model. Lineage: Bacteria; Bacillati; Bacillota; Clostridia; Lachnospirales; Lachnospiraceae. The record is from RNAcentral.
UAGUGGCGGACUGGUGAGUAACACGUAAGCAACCUACCUGUUAGAGGGGAAUAACAGUGAGAAAUCACUGCUAAAACCGCAUAUGCCGUGAACAUCGCAUGAUGAAAACGGGAAAAGAGCAAUCUGCUAAUAGAUGGGCUUGCGUCUGAUUAGCUAGUUGGUGUGGUAAAGGCAUACCAAGGCGACGAUCAGUAGCCGGACUGAGAGGUUGAACGGCCACAUUGGGACUGAGAUACGGCCCAGACUCCUACGGGAGGCAGCAGUCGGGAAUAUUGCGCAAUGGAGGAAACUCUGACGCAGUGACGCCGCGUAUGGGAAGAAGGUUUUCGGAUUGUAAACCAUUUUAGACAAGGAAGAAACAAGACAGUACUUGUAGAAUAAGCUCCGGCUAACUACGUGCCAGCAGCCGCGGUAAUACGUAGGGAGCAAGCGUUAUCCGGAUUUAUUGGGUGUAAAGGGU